This 333-nucleotide ribosomal RNA is filed under the name uncultured Hylemonella sp. Its description in RNAcentral is "bacterial SSU rRNA". It matches the Rfam family "Bacterial small subunit ribosomal RNA", at positions 84 to 401 of the family's 1533-position model. Lineage: Bacteria; Pseudomonadati; Pseudomonadota; Betaproteobacteria; Burkholderiales; Comamonadaceae. The record is from RNAcentral.
GUCACUGGAAAGUGGCGUCGGGUGAGUAACACGUGGGUAUCUACCUUCGGGUGGGGAAUAACGUCUCGAAAGAGACGCUAAUACCGCAUAAUGCAGCGGCACCUAAUGGUGAAUAGUUGUUAAAGCGGGGGAUCGCAAGACCUCGCGCCUGAAGAGGAGCCUGCGGCAGAUUAGCUUGUUGGUGAGGUAAUGGCUCACCAAGGCUGCGAUCUGUAGCUGGUCUGAGCAAGGACGGCCAGCCACACUGGCACUGACACACGGGCCAGACUCCUACGGGAGGCAGCAGUGGGGAAUUUUGGGCAAUGGGCGCAAGCCUGACCCAGCAACGCCGCG